Helianthus annuus (common sunflower) is the source of this 776-nucleotide long non-coding RNA. RefSeq lists it as uncharacterized. The record is from RefSeq and is a predicted model, not a curated record. The transcript has 2 exons. NCBI's taxonomy places the organism in Eukaryota, Viridiplantae, Streptophyta, Magnoliopsida, Asterales, Asteraceae.
UAGAUAAAAAAAAAUAAUAAUUAAGGACCAAACACACAAAAGUGUGUCUGGUCGUAUAUGGGACGCAGGGGGCGACCAGGAGACCUCACCAAGCCCUAGUUCAUCACUUAAUUCACAAAAUUGAAGGUCCAAAUCUGAUCAAAAUCGAAAAUCAAGAAUAGAUUAUUGAUCCCCAUUGAAAGGGGAGUCAUAAGUUUGACUCUAACAAGCUAGGUAGGAGCUUGGAAAUGAACGGGUCAAAUGGAUACAAGUUCAAGUAUGAAGCUCGCAAGGAUGCAAGGUAAGUAUAACUUACACUAGUCAUAUAUUUUAAAAUGUUCUUUUGUCAUAUUGACUACGAAUAAGACAAAUGGUAAUUUAGUCACACGUUGACAAUAAUCGUUAGUUUUAAAAGACGCUUUCCCGCGAAAGACAUAAAGAGCCGAAAGUGGUAAUAAACGGGUUAUAAAUAAAAUGAGCAUACGGUGUUAAAAGGAGCGAGUCAUGUAGAUGAGAUAAUAAUAAAUAUUAUCUCGCAAAGAUAAACGGUCAAUUCGGCCAAACGGGUCAAAAGGUGUAGACAUCACCUUUUGACAAUAUCGACUAAUGAUUCUGGUGUCGAGUUAUAUGUUUACAGGAGUAGAUAUCCAAUGGAUACUCGCAUCGCUCUUAAUUAGCAAUUAUAAAGCAAGGUAUUAAACCGGGUUAGUAAGUUGAUCCGAGCCAGGUAUGUAUAAUAGAUUAACUCAUCAUGUAGAACUUGAAGUUCUAUGAAAGUUAGGCAAAAUAAAAAAAAA